UGAUUUUGAAGUAAAUUAUCAAUUUGAUCCGAUUGGGAUGAAAGCUGUUAAAGAGUUCAGAGAAGAGUUGGCCAGAAUUGGUAAAAUUGUUGACCAAAGAAACAGCGAGAGAGAGUCGGCGUACCCUUAUUUACACCCUGAGGAAGUACCAAAUGCUAUCAGCAUAUGAACCCACAAUUAGAUCAAGAUAACGUAAAUAAUAACCCUGUAUUACUAUUCUUCGAUUGUUUUUUAGGGUGGGUUACUAUUUGAGUAUAGGUUACUGUUAGAGUAGUGGGUAUACUUGAAAAUAUUAAACCCCCACGCACCCUCACCACUUGCGUCAGCAAUUCAUAGAAAUAAAUAACUACAGUACGAGUAAACUUGGUUGAUUUAAUUUUAUUUAUAAACUAAAAAUUGUCCGCCACUCAUGCAUUAUCUUCUUAUAUUUGUUAUUUUUAAAAUGCGGCGGGCAUCAUUAACGGUCAGUCAUUAAGGAAAAUUACCAAGGAGUCAAUUCAAGUAAGAAUCAUCAACGGCGUAAUCACAAUAUAUAUUUUAAGGAAUAGGCCUAAAUCGCGUUAAAGCAUAAACAAUGUUGAUUUGAAUGUCAUUUGUUUAUAGUUUUGGUUACUCUUGUAGUAACCCCAUAAGUUAUUAUUAGAGUGUGAGUUAUUAUUAUAGAUCAACUUCUUUGGUGGGUGGAAGGGGUUACUAAUAGAGUAAUGGUUAAUAGGUAGUUUUCGCCGCACGACGUUAACCUUAACGUUAACGGAUGAUGUCAUAAUUUAUUCAUCUUGCGUUGCGGAGUACGUAAAUUUCAGGAUGUUACGUGUUCAACGUACGUUAGUUACGGGUUUGCGCAUGCAUAUUUCGAUUUGUUUACAAAAAGGGGCGGAGCUAUCGCGCUGAAUGUUGGGUACUAAAGUUAAAGUUAAGUUAAGGUUAACGUCGUGCGGCGAUAACUACCUAUUAUUAGAGGUUUUACGGUUUUUCUUAAUGUUUAACAGUAUUUAUUAUAGAAGGUGACCCUUUCAGUGUAUCCUAGAAGAUCGGCUGAUAUUCAGGUGCCCUCUUAAAUAAUGUGAGGCUUUUUCAACAAAGUCUCAUUACGAGGGAGUGGAGAUGAUUUUUAGUCGUGAGAAAAAUGUUUUACUGUCACUGGAUUAGAACUCAGGAUCCUGGGAUAGGAUCGAAGGCAAGCAUCUCAACCACUAAGCUACAGAUCCACAACAAUAUAUGUAUAUAAUAAGGUUAUUUUUGAAUUGGUGUUUUGUUAUAUAGGUGUUAUAUCUAAAAAAAUAGUUUUUAAUCUAUUUUUUAUUUUGACUUUAUUUAGAGAAAGUAAUCCUUCCAACUGGGUUUUGAAAGCCCAGUUGAUACUGUAUUUGGGGCUUUUACCCAAAAGGUAGUUACAAUUACAAAGACAGUUGCAUUAACAACAUUACGACAUGGAGUUCCAAUAAAACAAACCGCAUAGGCCUAAGUGUAGAUAAUUAACGUUAAAAUUAAGUUAAUGAUUACAGAAAUUAAUAGAACAUUUAAGAUAUAUACACAUUAAUAUUAUAACUACAUUAUAUUAUUAAUCUACAUUACAACGUUAUAUGAAUCAUUUAGUUUAAAGUGUAAUUAUGUUUAAUCAAAAUAUAUUGAUUUAAAUUUGUUAAUACUUCUAAGAAAUAUACAAUAUAGAAUUAUGCUACGAAGCAGCACUGUAUAUACAUUUUGGUGAGACAAUUUGAUUGCCUUAUCCAGAAUAAUAUUUAUGUUAUGUAGUGUGCUUGGUUGCCCUUUAAUGAUUGUGUAGAAUUAAGCAAGAAACAUGUUUUGCAUGAUUAACCACAAAGAUGACUGCCCAAAUUAUAUGGCUUUCGCAAGAGUUACCGUAAUUCAACUCAUCUCACUAAUACAGUAGAACCCCUAUUAAGGGACACCUUGGGUACCCAAAAAAGUGUCCCCUUAAUAGAGGUGUCACCUAUUCAGGGGACACUAACCAAAAAUGUAAAUUUGUCCCCUUAAUAGGCUUUUUGGCAUGCUUUUUGUACCGUGAUGACAUUGGGGUUUUUUUUAUAAUUUUAUUUUAAUUGACCAAAGAACGAUUAACAGUUGCAUUAUAACUAAUUUAAUAUAAUAAUUUGCAAUGCAAAGAAUAAUUCAUUCACUGUAUGAUAUGGAAUCAACAGAUACGGUAUGCUAUUAAAACUACAAAGGUUGUGUACAUUCCUGAUAUUGUUUCAUGAUUCAAUGCAAUGAAAUAACUUUUCUUUUUAAAAAUAUUGAGCUUUCUAUUGAAUGCACAAGAUCGAAUAUCAUUGACUUAAAAUAAGGAUGCAGGCUGUACGGUUUAGAUUAACCUAUAUGAAAAUACACAAAACAAAAAACCCAUGGUUAUUGGUAAAAAGGGUUGUCCCAAAGGAGGGGUUCUACUGACAAAAAA
This 2416-nucleotide long non-coding RNA is filed under the name Anneissia japonica. Its description in RNAcentral is "uncharacterized LOC117123729". Lineage: Eukaryota; Metazoa; Echinodermata; Crinoidea; Comatulida; Comatulidae. The record is from RNAcentral.